AUUUAGCUCAGGCCAGUUGACAUGGAGGACAAGAGGUCCUUGUGUGAACCACCGCCCCUUCCCGCUGAAGUAGCAGGAGGUGAAUCUCAGGAGUCUCUCCGAGAUGUGGAAAGAAUUAGGUCAGAGGUUGAAACACAAGCCAAGACUAUUGAUUCCUGUGCAAAACUCUGUCCAUGCACGAGGCAGAGAGAACCCAGAAUCUCAAUACCAUGGCAGUCCUUCAAUCUGAGGUGCACCAUUUGGCUGCACAUGUUGCCGCCCAGCACUUUGAGGAGCGUUUUGAGGGUCUAGGCUGUGAGGUCUCCACUGAGCUCCACUACCUACGCACUCUCCUGUCCCACUCUCCCUGCUCCUGUCCUACUCUCCAAGCCUCCUGCUCCAGCACUCACCCCUCAGAUAUCCAGAGGCAGGCUGCCAUCAACCACAUCUCUCAGGAACUCUACCACAGGUAGAUCUGGAUAAGGCAGUCUGAAGUGUGGUGUGGUGGGGAUACUUUGGUGAACUACACUUGCAUGAUGAUAAGUAGACUUUAGCUCAGUGGGAUAAUGCAGUAAUAACAUGUAAUUCCCUCUCCAUAUUUUUCUGUGUAUGUUGUCUGUUUCUUCAGUCGUGUGGGAGCAGAUUGCUGAGCUAAGGGAGGAAGUCCACAACUUUCAUGGCCUGCUUAGCAAGUUUGAUUUGAUGUUUUUCAGAACAAGACCCCCUUCCAUGAUGUUGUUCUAAUGGAGGCUUUUUAUAAACCUUACUCAAGUUUUCCUUUCCUUUUUAGAAAAACUAAGAGACGAAACUAUGCGCAGAUUGACAGAGAAAUACUACAAAUAUUAUAAGAGCUCAGAGCUCACAUGUCUCUCCCCCAAAUCACUUUGACCUGAAUGAUUUCACUCAUCAAACAAAUUAUACAAACUUUACACUUGAAACAAUCUUCUGAACUGUACAUGGGUUAUAAUGAUUUGGACUGCUGAAGCUUAUCUCAUGUCAUGUGACAUGUUCUGGAAUAUAUAUCUGGAAUAUGUAUCUAUCUGUCUCAAUUUUCAGUGCUUGGAGAGGAUGAUUGACAGCUAUCAGAUGAAGGACGACAUACUCAAACUGCAGAGGCCUCGGGACAUGCUCAGGUGAAAUUUAAGGUGAAAGUUCUGGGGUGAGGUUAGAGUAGACGAGCAUGGCAAGCAAUCUGACAGACUGCUAUUACUAAUUACUAAUGCAUUAUGAUGAUGCAUCCUUAUAACAAGUGUUCUCCCCUAGGUCAGAUGUUUCUGAGUUACAUAAUAAGCUUCAAACUAUAACAAUAUCGAAAGGCAAGGCUCCCAAUAAAACAGGUAAGAUAUCUGGUAAUGAACUUUCUGUUGAUCUACAAAAGAUAUAGCAUUUGCAUUGAAAUACAAAGUGUAUUCUUCUGUUUGCUGAGAUCAGUUUUUAUUGCUGUGUGCAUGGUCUCUUGCAUCGCAUACUAGGCCGAACUGAACAAAUAGGACAGAGGGUUAUGCCAGCCGAUUCAGAUUCAGGCAAAGUGGAACAUGUGCCAAAGGAAUGACACCAAAGAUCAAACUGGAAAUCAAUGUGUCUGCCAGGUAAAUGAAAGCACACAAAUAACAUUCUUUGCUGUUUCUCAUCUAUUACUGACAACAGUAAUUCAUGUUAUCAUCUAAUUAAUAAGCACACUUAAAUUGAUGUAUAUGUUAUAAGGGUAACCACAUUAGAAGUGAAUUCUUCAUUUUGUCUCUGUUGCUGAAGGAAAUAAAGUUCAUAGCUGGAAUUCUCAAUCUACCUUUUGCCCUACCUUGUCUCACUGCCAAAUAAAAUCAAAUGUGUUCUACACUGACAAUUUUUUCUGUUUGAGCUUUGUG
Oncorhynchus masou masou (cherry salmon) is the source of this 1844-nucleotide long non-coding RNA. RefSeq lists it as uncharacterized. Lineage: Eukaryota; Metazoa; Chordata; Actinopteri; Salmoniformes; Salmonidae. The record is from RefSeq and is a predicted model, not a curated record. The transcript is spliced from 5 exons.